UACAGGGGGUGCAAGCGUUACUCGGAAUUACUGGGCGUAAAGAGCGCGUAGGCGGUUUGUUAAGUCUGGUGUGAAAUCCCUGGUCUUAAACCAGGAAGUGCAUUGGAUACUGGCGAACUUGAGUGUAGGAGAGGUGGGCGGAAUUCCUGGUGUAGAGGUGAAAUUCGUAGAUAUCAGGAGGAACAACAGAGGCGAAGGCGGCCCACUGGACUACAACUGACGCUGAGGCGCGAAAGCGUGGGGAGCAAACAGG
This 253-nucleotide ribosomal RNA is filed under the name uncultured bacterium. RNAcentral describes it as "partial 16S ribosomal RNA". It matches the Rfam family "Bacterial small subunit ribosomal RNA", at positions 524 to 776 of the family's 1533-position model. The record is from RNAcentral.